UGAGUACGAGAUGCUACGGCAUCGAAGCAGUCUAUGUCAUACUUCCAAGAAAAGCUUGCACUGUCAGAAACAGAUAAUGCCUGUACCAUAACCGACACAGGUGGGUAGGUAGAGUAUACUAAGGGGCGCGAGAUAACUCUCUCUAAGGAACUCGGCAAAAUGACUCCGUAACUUCGGGAGAAGGAGUGCCUUAUUUUUAAGGUUGCAAUAACAAGAUCCAAGCAACUGUUUACCAAAAACACAGGUCUCCGCUAAGUCGUAAGACGAUGUAUGGGGGCUGACGCCUGCCCAGUGCCAGAAGGUUAAAGAAGUCGGUUAGCAUUCGCGAAGCUGGUAACUGAAGCCCUGGUGAACGGCGGCCGUAACUAUAACGGUCCUAAGGUAGCGAAAUUCCUUGUCGGGUAAGUUCCGACCCGCACGAAAGGCGUAAUGAUUUGGAUACUGUCUCGGAGGGGGGCUCGGUGAAAUAGACUUGUCUGUGAAGAUGCGGACUACCUGCACCUGGACAGAAAGACCCUAUGAAGCUUUACUGUAACUUGAAAUUGAAAUUGGACUUUAUUUGCGCAGUAUAGGUGGGAGGCGUUGAAAAUAUUCUUGCGGGAAUAUUGGAGCCAUCAGUGAGAUACCACUCUUGUAAUGUUAGAUUUCUAACUUUAUAUCAUUAUCUGGUUAAAGAACAGUUUCAGGCGGGCAGUUUGACUGGGGCGGUCGCCUCCCAAAUGGUAACGGAGGCGCACAAAGGUUUCCUCUGAACGGGUAGAAAUCGUAUCUAGAGUGUAAAGGCAUAAGGAAGCUUGACUGUGAGACCUACAAGUCGAGCAGGGACGAAAGUCGGUCUUAGUGAUCUGACGGUGCUGAGUGGAAAGGCCGUCACUCAACGGAUAAAAGUUACUCUAGGAUAACAGGCUGAUCUCCCCCAAGAGUUCACAUCGACGGGGAGGUUUGGCACCUCGAUGUCGGCUCAUCGCAUCCUGGGGCGGUAGUACGUCCCAAGGGUUGGGCUGUUCGCCCAUGAAAGCGGUACGCGAGCUGGGUUCAGAACGUCGUGAGACAGUUCGGUCCAUAUCCGGUGUAGGCGUUAGAAUAUUGAGAGGAGCCUUCUUUAGUACGAGAGGACCGAGAAGGACAUACCUCUGGUGUACCAGUUAUCGUGCCAACGGUAAACGCUGGGUAGCUAUGUAUGGAGUGGAUAACCGCUGAAAGCAUCUAAGUGGGAAGCCCACCUCAAGAUAAGUAUCCUC
RNAcentral lists this ribosomal RNA (1241 nucleotides) under metagenome. RNAcentral describes it as "bacterial LSU rRNA". It matches the Rfam family "Bacterial large subunit ribosomal RNA", at positions 1564 to 2815 of the family's 2925-position model. The record is from RNAcentral.